AUGGCGGGCCUCCGUGCAUGGCGGGCGGGCUGGGGCGUGGCUUCUCCGGCUGGCGUCUGCGGAUCCGUGGUGGUGGCGGUGUGCCACGGAUCGACGGGGGCGGCGCGGCGGGCGCUCGAGGUGGUGCAGAGAUGUCCUGGUGAUGGCGGUGUUGGCCCAUGGAUGGUAGGCGGGUGCUGCCUGGUGGCGGAGCGGCUCCGGAAAGUGGAUCCUCAGUGUGGAAGCCGGGGCGGCGGCCCCGGAAAACCAUGCGGCAAGGUGGCGCGGUGGUUCGAGAUCUUGGCGGCGUGUGGUUGCUGCCGGCUGAUCUGUGGCUUGACGACGGCGACAUGCUACUUCCCUCUCCACGGUAAUGGCCCAAGGUGA
RNAcentral lists this ribosomal RNA (366 nucleotides) under Triticum aestivum (bread wheat). Its description in RNAcentral is "partial small subunit ribosomal RNA". The record is from RNAcentral. Lineage: Eukaryota; Viridiplantae; Streptophyta; Magnoliopsida; Poales; Poaceae.